Molecule: long non-coding RNA, 1524 nt
Organism: Cygnus olor (mute swan)
Lineage: Eukaryota; Metazoa; Chordata; Aves; Anseriformes; Anatidae
Exons: 3
Source: RefSeq, a predicted model, not a curated record
UGCUUAACACUGAUUCUCUGGUAAGGGUUUGUCCCAACUCAUGAGCUAGGAAAUAGCUAGGGCUAUUUUCAGUAGCUAGAAAAUUACACUACUGCCACUCACGCCAGCCCGCUUUGCUCAGCUGCUCAUUUCAAAGGGAGCACUAGUAUCUGUGGGAAGUAAGGAUCCCUUGCAAGAGGCUUUCUCUUUGUUUCUUUUACCAGGACUAUGUUGGGCUGAGAGGCAUCUUUGCUGUUAGCUGUGCGGCAUUCACCCUUGCCAGUCUUUGCUCUCCUGGCAUUUACAUCUGUUCCUCCACUGGUAUCUACCACCUGGUUGGGGGUAACUUACUCCUUUGCUGCUGCUAGUAUGUGGUCAUCCAUACCUCUUGUGGUCCCUCAAGCAACUUCAGGGACAGCUAUGGGCUUGCAACUUCUGUUCAGAUGCUUGGAAUUGGUUUUUCAAAUCUUAUUGUUGGACACAUUCUAGGAACAAAGUCCAGGGUGGGACACUGAACAGAACAAGAAAGGGAGCACCUGUGGAGCAGGACGACAGAGAGCCCGCAGAUACCACACCGCUCCUUGAUGAUGAAAGGAGAAACAAGGGCUCUGUCAACUGAACCUGAGCAGUCUGAGGACAAUAAUAGCUGCCAGACACAUCACUAAUCACUUCAGCUUUAAAGCAGACUUUUAGUCUGCCUAUCUUUAAAGGGAGUCACGGAGGAAACUACGUACUGAAACAGAACGUUUCCACUUUCUUGUAUCCGGCACACAAACGAAACAUGGCUGCCACGUGGUUCCUAGGCAUUGGUACACAGCCAGCGUAUAGAGACCUCCACUGGGCACCUUGAGAACUACACUACAUAAGUAAAUAACAGCUGAAGCUUGAUCUCGAGCCAUUAGGCUCUGUAUAUCAGAACUUGCUAAACCAGGUACCUUGAAAGGCCUGUUUUACUUACUGCUCUGCGUUAGCACGCAUCAUUUACAAAUUAGAUAUCCCAAGUAACACCAUCAUUAUUCUUUAGGCAGGAGGUAGAAGACCAGGUAAAUCAAAGGGAUUAGGUUUUGUACACAAGCAUAGCUUAAUUGCAUUUUACCUUACAGCAAUGCUUCCACAAGCAGUGCCUAUUCAUUUGCCCACAAAAACAUAAAAGGUUUUGAUCCAAAAUUCUGUCCUUUAAACCAGGGUGCUCUUACGAAUGCUAAGGGCUGUUUUACUCAGCCAAUUACCCUUUUCACCACGCAAAACUCAAACACUUGCAAAGUGUUUACAAAAGCACAAAGGAUGCUUCAAGAAUGAAGUAAACUUUCGCAUAGCCAAAUAUAAGAAAUGCUGAAAUGAAUGCCUUAAAUAAAUUCUUAAGAGAAAAAGUUCUCUUUAAGUUGCAUUUAAUAUAAAUGCUGGUAGACUGAUGGCAGUUUAGCCACUGACAACAUCCGGUCUUAAGUGGUGGUAACAAGAUAAAUCCACACAUUAAAGCAAAAUUUUCUUAAACUGAGUAUUCCCACAGACGGAGACUCUACUACUGCUGGGCAACCUGUUCCU